AAGAGGAGCCCGGCGGCGGUCUUCCACUGGGAGCCACAACCACCCUCCAUCCUUCUUUAGGACUGGAAAGUGGGGCUGGGGGCCGCGCAGGUUGGUGGAGCAGGGAACUAGGAGGGAAGGUGCAAAUUAAAAAACUGGAUCAAAAGAUUGGAAUCCACUACCUGGCCAGGCCUGCCCAAGGUGCCUUUUCCUGCAGUAGACAGAUGGUUUCAGUCUACACUAAACUGUGUGAAAUGAGAAUGGAAAUGAUUUUAUUAUAUAAAGCCAAACAAGGAGCUAUUCUCUAGAGAAGGAGGAGACAUGCACAAGGAGGAGCUGGCAACCUUCCUCAGCAGAACAGAUGAAUAAAUAAGUACCAUGAGCUUGUGUCUUUUAGUUGGGGUGAUUUGUCAAACACCACACCUCUGUGGCUGCUUGCAGAUUUUAAGGGUUGUGCUCAGUCUUAAC
Long non-coding RNA from Nannospalax galili (Upper Galilee mountains blind mole rat), 447 nucleotides. RefSeq lists it as uncharacterized. Lineage: Eukaryota; Metazoa; Chordata; Mammalia; Rodentia; Spalacidae. The record is from RefSeq and is a predicted model, not a curated record. The transcript has 3 exons.